Molecule: small nucleolar RNA, 71 nt
Organism: Xenopus tropicalis (tropical clawed frog)
Lineage: Eukaryota; Metazoa; Chordata; Amphibia; Anura; Pipidae
Gene: SNORD26
Rfam family: Small nucleolar RNA SNORD26
About the family: U26 is a member of the C/D class of snoRNA which contain the C (UGAUGA) and D (CUGA) box motifs.
Source: Ensembl
CUGCACUGAUGAUAAAAUGAACUCUCUCUUACUGAGUUUACAGUGGAGACAGACCUUAUAAUCUGAGUAGC